AGGGGUGUAGCCAAGCGGUAAGGCACCUGAUUCUGGUUCAGGCAUUCGGGGGUUCAAAUCCUCCCACCCCUGCCA
RNAcentral lists this transfer RNA (75 nucleotides) under bacterium BMS3Abin09. RNAcentral's name for it is "tRNA-Gln". It matches the Rfam family "tRNA". From Rfam's summary of the family: Transfer RNA (tRNA) molecules are approximately 80 nucleotides in length. Their secondary structure includes four short double-helical elements and three loops (D, anti-codon, and T loops). Further hydrogen bonds mediate the characteristic L-shaped molecular structure. tRNAs have two regions of fundamental functional importance: the anti-codon, which is responsible for specific mRNA codon recognition, and the 3' end, to which the tRNAs corresponding amino acid is attached (by aminoacyl-tRNA synthetases). tRNAs cope with the degeneracy of the genetic code in two manners: having more than one tRNA (with a specific anti-codon) for a particular amino acid; and 'wobble' base-pairing, i.e. permitting non-standard base-pairing at the 3rd anti-codon position. The record is from RNAcentral. RNAcentral also lists the same sequence under 3 other names.